Molecule: long non-coding RNA, 12087 nt
Filed under: Lynx pardinus (Iberian lynx)
Lineage: Eukaryota; Metazoa; Chordata; Mammalia; Carnivora; Felidae
Source: RNAcentral
GGUAAUGUGCUUGGCAGUAGAAAUAAGGUGAUGAAUGCCUGCUGGAGGACCCUAAGGGUCAAUUUCCAGAAAAAGAGCAGGCCUAGCUAACUCAUUUUAUUAUGUUCCUUGACCAUAAAAUGAGAAGAGAUGAAUGGCAGCAACUUAUCAGCUUACUUACAGUCCCCUGUCAAUUUAACCAUCCAAGAAAGAGGGGACUUAACUGCUUCAAAAAAGGAAAGCAAGCACUUGAGUUUUAAUAAUUUUAAAAUAAUAUUUAUAAUAUUAUGAAUAGCUUCUUAAGAUCUACUUCAAAAUUAAAGUAAGUUACAGAGUGGUUGGAAUUCCUCCCCACCCCUACUCAUUCCUUGUAAGUCCUCAAAGUUGUUUUAUUGUGGUGUUUUAUUGAUUCACAAUUUGUGAUAUCUAUUAAGGAAACGUCAAAAACAAAUUGCAUCAUACCAGUUAAACAGACGAGUAAGACUAAGAUUACUGCAAUAGGACUUAAGACUGUGCAAUAGGGAAGAGAGAUUGAACUCAACUCUGCUAAAACAAAAACAGCAGAGCUUUUAAACACUGGGGUGAGUGAGAGGAAAAGUACUGGAAGACAUUUGGGAAGAUGUUGGUCAGUGUGGUUGGGCCAUCUGUGUUUGCUAACUGGCAUUUUAGGCUCCUAUCCUCCCACAGGCACUGGUGGGUAGGGGCACUUUCAUAAUUAUUAUAUUUUAAAGGAAUGGCUCCCAGGCCCUUGGGAAAGACACUCUUGGGUUGUAACUGGCAAGAGCUGGGAGAAAAAUUAUAUUUCCAAGGGAUGGAGAAAGAAUAUGCAACAUCAAGUUUUCUAAAGUAAAUGCUCUAAGAAAACGGAGGUCAGGGUCCUUGAGUCAAGGAAAAAUAAAUCUAAAGUUUAGUCAAAUGAGGAGAAUAUUAAGAUAUCUUGUCAUAAUUACCAGUUGGUAAUUCAAUGCUUUAUUUUUAAGUAAUAUGUAACCUGAUAUUUAACAUAUGAGAAACAAUCUCAUAUUUAAGGUGGUAUGCUUGCAUAAAGGAUUUUUUGAUGGUGUGAGGCAACAGAAAUGUCUGCUUCUGGCUCUCUAGUGGACUACAUAUGUCAGAGAAUGCUAAGUAUUAAUUCUGUGUCAUUUUUCCAUGGGUCUAACAAACCACAUGUCAAUACGUGGAUAUUUGGGACCAAGAAAAGCUGUUGCUAAAGGCGAACAGUCUUCUUCCACAUUAAUAUUUUGACACUUAACAUUACGAUUUUUCAUCAUAGAGUUAUCGGUUCUAAAAAACAUAUGUAGAUCUACAUCUCAACAAUUUUAAUUUUGGAAAAUAAACCUUGUAAUGAUAUUUGCCUUAGGAAUCUCAUUUGUGUCGUUAAGAAGUUGCACAUUAAAAAGCAACCUGUUCUCAGUAGUAUUUUGUCAUUAUAUUUUGCUCUUGUAAUAAAUCAGACCAAAAGCUUAAGCGAAGACCUUUUAUACAAAUAAAAACAAAAGAAAGCCAGUAAUAUUUUAUAUUUUGACAGUCAUUAGUUGAUUCUGAAAGCAUUUAACCUUAAUAUUAAAGAAUUAUUAUUAUUAUUUGGUCAACACUGAAAGAAGAAAAUAAAAACAAGGCAUCUAAAAGAAAGUUGCUAACUUCAUUCUUUGCUAGGGAAUGUGAAAAUUGGUGAUCUCUUGUCCUGACUCCUUUUUAUGCCAUUGCAAACCUUUCAAGGUCUCCAGUGAAAAGAAUGUCUGGCUCUUUUGUGCAGAACUUACCCAACAUGGUUUAUGAAGAUGAAUUAUUAAAUUUUUUCUUUAUCUUUGGCUUGUCUUUUUGCUUACUUCACACUAAAUGCCUUUGCUUCAGUCAAUAUUCAGUAUUUGCUACUUUACCUUAUGCCUUUUCUUUGUCUCUAUAUAUCCAGCUGUGUGUAUGAGUAUGUUUUUUAAUCAUUAUUAUCUUAGAUUCUGGAUAUUUCUACCAACCAUCCCUCCAGAAUUCCUAUAAUUUUUUAAUGCUUCUCACCAGCAGCCAAGGUGAGAAGGUGCAGUAACUGCAACAGGAGGGAAUACCAUGUAGAGCAUUUAAAUUAAUCCCUUUUGUUUCCAGAGAAACCAAGUUACUGGCAAGUGUGAGCUCUGGAGGAAAAAAAAAUACAUACAGUAAUUCCUUGGGUACUAACUUCAUCCUUAAUCCUUUGCAAUGAGGUUACAGGUUUUGUUUUUGGUUUGGGUUGGUUUUGGUUGGCAAAUUAAGCAUGUCUUAAUACAGCUUCUUUAGACCAUUAAGAAAUAAUUGAUUAAACAUAUCUUUUUAGUUAUGUAACACUGAGACCAUUUAUUCAUUCAAGAAAGAUUUCAAGAACUGCCACAUUCAAAUUAUGUGAAGAAUCCUUUCCAUAUGGUGGCAUUUUUAGCCAUUUCAUGUCAUUAUUUAGUACUCUUAAUAGAAAUUAAAUUUCACUUAAUGCCAAAGUAUUUAAAUAAUUUUGCUGUAAUAAUUUUGCUUUUCCUGGCUUAUAAGAAAAUUUAUUCCCCCCCCAAAAUAGUUACUUGAUACUGAGUUAUAUGGAAUGCCCUUAUCUCAUUUUUUUACUAUGAGAAAUAUACUGAAAAAAUGAAAAUAUAAGUUCUAUGGGUCUACAAUACGUGCACACUAUUUUACAAACAAUAAUACAUCAUAUUUGAUUCCAAAUUUGAAAUUUGGCUCCAAAAUGAAAAAAAGAAUUUCCAGAGAAAAGAUAUGUGUCUGGUGUGCUAAUAAAUGAGUAGCUAAACUAUAAGGUAAGUGGACACAUGACAUUUAUAAAAUCUAAAAUGAUUUGAUUCAUGUUAGUGUAAUCAUUUACAUAAAAUAACUCUAAGCAAAAGAAUAUUUUUUCACAUUGUAAUGCAGCUAAGAAAAUUGUCCUGAUAAGUCAAUUUGAUUUGUUGCUGAUGAAAUAUAACAUUAUAUGACUAUGGGAAAGUAGUUUUUAAGGUAUGCUCAUAAAAUUUUUCAUACUCUUUAAGCCAAUAAUUCCAUUUGGGGAAUAUUUUUUAAAAUAUAUUAAGGUUUAUUUAUUCUUUUUUUUUAAUUUUUUAACAUUUAUUUGUUAUUAAAAGACAGAGAGAGACAGAACAUGAGCAGGGGAGAGGCAGAGAGAGAGGGAGACACAGAAUCUGAAGCAGGCUCCAGGCUCUGAGCUGACAGCACAGAGCCCAAUAUGGGGCUCGAACUCACAAACCAUGAGAUCAUGACCUCAGCUGAAGUCGGAUGCUUAACCAACUGAGCCACUCAGGCGUCCCUAAGGUUUAUUUAUUCUUAAGAAAAAGAGCGAGAGAGAGAGAGUGAGUGGUGGAGAGGCAGAGAGAAGGAGACACAGAAUCCAAAGAAGGCUCCAGACUCCAAGUUGUCAGCACAGAGCCCAAAGCUGGGCUCAAACCCAUAAACUGUGAGAUCAUGACCUGAGUUGAAGUCAGAUGCUUAAACUACUGAGUCACCCAGUCACCCUGGGGAAUAACCUUCAAGAAAAAAGAAAAAACCUCCUUGCCACAAAAUAAAAUAUACAAAAAUAUACAAAGACCAUUGACAAAAUGGUCAAUGCUUUGUGAUUUAUAAUAGAAAACAGGAAAAAGAAAUAGAAAUCAUGAAUAGCUGAGGGCAAUGAAUAUAUAUAGAACAUUAACCUAAUGGGAUAUUAUGCAUCCUUUUUACAUUUUAAUUGCUAAAACAAUACACCUAUGUGCAAAAUGUUUAGAAAAAAUGCUAUUCUAUUAAGUUCAAGUAUCUAUCUUACAUUAGGCCAUGUUAGACAGGAGAAAGACCUGUGGGGUGUUUGUUCUUUGUUUUAUUUAAUAAUACAUACACAUGAGACUUUACUUUUUAAAGCUAAUAUAUAUGUCCAGGCCUCAUCCCAAGAGAUAAUUUCAAAAGAUUUAGAGCUGAGCACAGAGGUGUGUGUGUGUGUGUGUGUGUGUGUGUGUGUGUGUGUGUGUGUUUAUUUAGUUAGUUAUUUUAAAUUUUUAAUGUUUAUUUUUUAUUGUAUCUUUGAGAGAGAGAGCAUGAGCAGGGGAAGGAAGAGCAGAGAGAGGGAGACACAGAAUCUGAAGCAGGUUCCAGGCUCUGAGCUGUCAGCCCAGAGCCCAAUGAGGGGCUCGAACUCACCAACUGCUAGAUCAUAACCUAAGCCGAAGUGGGACGCUUAGCUGACUGAGACACUAAGGCACCCCACAGGCAUGUGUAUUUUUAAAGGGCCCCAACAAUUUUUUCUGAUGCAGAGCCAGAAAGGGACCAACAUACUAGAUGGAGUUCUUCCAUGGCAGGGAUGAUGUGAUCAUUGUGUGGCCCUGCAGUGCUUCCCUGAGACCGCACGGAGUGGGAAUACAGUGCCUGAGCAAGAAUGAACUGAGGCUAGAGGGGUAAAAGGCCAAACUGAAGCAUGACUGAAAUGAAAGGUAAAAUACACACACAUACCCACACUCACACAUUAUAUUAAUAUUACAAAAUGAGAAUAACAAAAGGAAAAAAGGCAAACCAACAAAAUGAAACCCUUUGGUUUGUGGAGUAGAACAUUAUGGAAUUAUAUUUAACUUUAUUUUUGUAGAAGCUUUGCUUAUAUUUUGUAAAAAAAAAAAGCUAUUUUUAAGGAGAAAGAAUCUGCUGGUAGAUAAUCAACUAAUCUAUUUACUUCUUGAAAUGAAACAGCAGAUUUAUCAAUAAUUUGUGUGUAGUCCACAUUACUGGCAUUGAGAAAAUGAAGAGAACCAAAUUUUAAAAAUGAGUGUAAACUAACAUACUCUUACCAUAUUACCCAGCAAUUGUGCUCUUGGUAUUUAGCCAAUGGAUCACAACCUUGUAUCUACACAAAAACCUAACAGAGAUGUUUACAGCAGCUUUAUUCAUGAUUGUCAAAAUUUGGAGACAACCAAGAUGUCUUUCAGUAGGUGACUGGAUAAACUGGGAUACAUUCAAAAACUGGGAUAUUAUUCAGCACUAAAAGGAAAUGAGCUAUCAGGCCAUGAAAAGGCAAGAAGAAAUUUUAAAUGCAUAUUCCUAGGUGAAACAAGUCAAUCUGAAAAGACUAUAUACUGUAUGAGCCCAAGUAUAUGACAUUCUGGAAAAGCAAAACUAUGGAGACAGUAAAAAUAUCAGUGGGUGCCAAGGGUUAAGGGGAAAGAAGGGAUGAGCACAGAGGAUUUUUAGGGCAGUGAAACUAUUCCGUAUGGUAUUACAAUUGUGGACACAUGUCAUUACACACUUAACAAAAUCCAUAGAAUGUACAACACCAAGAGUGAACCCUUAUGUAAACUAUGGGCUUUGGGUGAUAAUUAUAUGUCUUUGUAGGUCCAUAGAGUGUGACAAAUACAUGACCAUGGUGUGGGACGCAGACAGUAGGAAGAUUGUGCACGUGUCGGGUGGGGGUAAAUGGGAACUCUCUCUACUUUCUGUUCAAUUUUGUAUAGACCUAAAACUGCUCUAAAAAAUAGUCUAUUUAAAAAAAAAUAGCAUUAGGUUAUGUGGGAUUCUAACUGGAAAUCACCAAAGUCUUUGAAGAUCUUGCUGUUCAAAAUGCAUAUUCAGCGAUCCUUCACUUUGCCACGACAAUAUGAUAAAGAAAAAUGUCAAGAUGCAUAGGGGCACUUGUACCCCAAAGUUUAUAGCAGCACUCUCAACAAUAGCCAAAUUGCGGAAAAAGCCUAAAUGUCCAUCAGCUGAUGAAUGGAUAAAGAAAUUGUGGUUUCUAUACACAAUGGAGUACUACAUAGCAAUGAGAAAGAACGAAAUAUGGCCCUUUGUAGCAACGUGGAUGGAACUGGAAAGUGUGAUGCUAAGUGAAAUAAGCCAUACAGAGAAAGACAGAUAUCAUAUGUUUUCACUCUUAUGUGGAUCCUGAGAAACUUAACAGAAACCCAUGGGGGAGGGGAAGGAAAAAAAAAAAAGAAAAAAAAAAGAGGUUAGAGUGGGAGAGAGAGCCAAAGCAUAAGAGACUCUUAAAAACUGAGAACAAACUGAGGAUUGAUGGGGAGUGGGUGGGAGCGGAGGGUAGGUGAUGGGCAUUGAAGAGGGUAUCUUUUGGGAUGAGCACUGGGUGUUGUAUGGAAACUAAUUUGACAAUAAAUUUCAUAUAAUAAAACAUAAAAAAAUUAAAGAAAAACAUCAAGAAAUACUAAUUCAAUACAAUUAUUUAAUUUUUAGACAAUGAUGAAAAAUAUCAUAUCUUUGAAAUAGAGUUAGUUUAGGGGAGAACAGGAAAUUAUUAAAUUUAGUAUCAAUAUGAAUGAUACUGAAUCCAUGUUAGAGAAAAUUAAUAUAUAUCUAUAAUUUAAUAAUAUUCAAGAAUUUAAACAAUUAACUGAAUUUUGGCAGGGGAAAUUGGAAGAGAGACAAUUUUUGUCAGUAAGAAAAAAUUUUAAGCUGCAUAUUUUAAUCAUCAUAAACUGCUCGGGAUUUCAAUAUUUUAAUAGAUUCAUUUAGCUCUAAAUGUCUUCAAGCAUGGUAUAAAUCCUCCAGAGCCCCUGCUUUGUAAUAUAGCCUUUUAACAUAUUCAUUGUCUCUUUCCAAGAAAGUUCACUAUUGCUAUUCCAUUAGUCUGUUUUGUGAUAUAUUUCAAAGAUAAAAUGAAUAUCUUCACUUUUCAUUCAUGACUAUUUAAUCUUGAUUUUUUAAUAAAAAUUUGAUGGUAAUUAUCAUCUAUUAAAACACAUUCUUUCCCUCUUCUUGUGCAUUUUUCCUCUUUACAGUAAAUCCUACAUUCUGACACCACAGUUAAAAACAUUUUAUCAGUAAUUACAUCUAGAUAUAUUCCUUUUAUGAACUCAGUCUUAAUAGACUCUUAAUCAACUCGGAGCAUUUUUAGACAUGGCAAAGAUUCUAUUGAUGCAUAAUAGGAGAGUGUUGGAUUUGCCAACCUCGUUUCUCUUUUUCACUUUACCCUUCCCUUAAUCCCGAUAGCUUCAUAGCUUUUAUAGGGUAAACUUACACAAAACCUCACCAUAUACUGGAAUGUUAGCUAUGUGUGGUGUGCUGUCAAAACAGAAGUCCAUUACCCAUAAGUGAGACAGAAGCCAUCUUUAGAUGGAGGAGGCAUUCACAAGAGGUUCAGUAAAUAUUAGAAGAUAAGGCAUUUACAAGAGGCUCAGUAAAUAUUAAAACCAUGAGAAACUAUGGCAGAGAAGAUCAUCUGCAGCAAAAACAAAAGUAAACUGUUCUGCCUCUCUGAUCCUUAACUUUACCAUCAUCAAAAUGAAAACAAAAUAUAUUUACCUCCAGAAUCGCUGUGAUGAUUAAGUCAGAACAUAUAAAUGAAAAUUCAGUACUAGUCAUAAAAUGCCAUAUAAAUAUUGGGUAGUAUCACAAUUAAUAAUAAUUCCAUCUCAGAAUUGUAAGAAAUUUAGGCAGGCAAAGCAUUUAGAAGAGGAAAACACAGGCUACAUGCCCAAGACUUGAAUGAAAGUGAGAGCUCUGUAUGUUCAUAAAUCCCUGCAUCCCAAAUUCCUUGUAUUAUGUGUGAGCGUCUGCUGUGGUACCAUGAAGCAUAAAAAUAGUAAAGCCUGUUGAAAAUCCCAAAACAAAGAGAGGAGCCAAGAAAAGAAUAUGAAUAAUUUAAUCAGAUAGGAUUCAAGUUUAUCCCCAGCUUAUUUGCCUUUUAUUCUUCAUUUCAGUUAGUUACAUAUCCAUCAGUUAUCACCAAGGUUGUGCAUGCACCUUGAAAUGUUCACAAAAGGUCCACAAUACAGGGGUUCAUAAUUAGGUUAUAUGUUAUAUUCAGAAUCCCAGGGGAACUAAUCGAUUCUGGAAAUAUUGAUUAAGCAAGAUGAAGAAUUCUUACACAGUUUCAACUACAACAAUUUUAAACAAGUACAAGCUUCGGUUGCCACAAAACUCACAAAAAGUAAUUGAUUGAAGAAUAUCUCUUUUAUGCAAAAUAUACAUUUUAGGAUAUAAUUUGAUUAAUACUCUACUAUAUACUGACAUUACUCCUUGAUCAUUUAAUAAAAAAAUACUCUCGUUGCCAGAAUUUUAUUUUCUGUAAUAUUUAUAAUUGAGGUAACAAUGACAAAAACACUUAAACCAUGAAUAACAUUGGUGAGUUUUUUUUAAAAGUCAUAAUGAUUCUCCAGAACUAAACAAAUAUGUGACUAAACACAGGUUAGUUUUGAUAAAUAGGCACUGAAAAUUUCACAAAAAGACAAGCAGAUAACAUAAAUGGUUUAUAAAAAAAUGAUACCAUCGAUGUUCAUGGAUUCAAACAACAAAGAAGAAAUAAGGGAAAUUAAGACACAUCUAUACUACGCCAUUAUCACUGCCUUGUAUGAUUCACAGCACAAUCUACUGCAGGCCCAAGAGGGGCAAUUCACAGAGGUAUGGGCCUUACUUGAAGCUUCAGAGAUAUUGAUCAUGAAUUUGGCUUCCUUGGGUGUGAGAUGGCUGAAGCUGUUGACCCAUGCACACGUGUUGGUAUUUACAAUUGUCUCAUGGAUCCCGGCAGGUCCACAAGCAGACCACUCAUAUGGGGAGCACCAAAUGAGUUCCAGCCACAGUUCUUUUCUAAGCUUUAGAUGCCUCAUGAAGACGCAGGGACUUCUUCCGAGUGCGACCUGGUCACAUCAGGUUACAUUCAGCAGCAGAAGUCUGUUUCCAGUACAGUCCUUGGCAUGGCUAAAUUCCAUUGUCCCUUUUUCAGCAGUCAAAAAUCCAUGAUAAAUUCUGUACAACACUGCAGUCAAUAACAGCAGCACCAGACAGUAUAUUAAUUCCUUUACCAUAAAGCUAUAUGGAAUUAUAACUUUCUAAGGGUGGUGUCAUUAAAAGGAUCACAGAAUCUCUAAAUAUCAGAUGUGUACGUCUGGGUAAAUACAUUGCCGUACAAAAUCUCAGACAUGCAGUUCAUGCUUUAGGACUUAGAGAAUAAUAUACGUUAUGUGAUCAAUAAUAAAAAUGACAUUUGUCUUCCUCACAAAAAAUAAACAUGAGAAUUAAGGAUUAAUCCACAGUCUCAAGGAUCCUGAAUGCCUUAGAAAUAAUAAUGUUUAUCCCUCAAUUUAUAGUAUGGCAUUUUUCCUCCUUCACAUGCCCAAUACACCGGACACACUAUUGCUAUUGCAUUCAUCGGGACGCUGUAAACAGAAUUUCUUCCACUUGGGCUGAAUAAAACUCCCUAGGGGUUUUGCUGGAGUGUAGUGAUGAAUGCUGGUUGCUAGGUAGUAGACACUGACACUGCAGCCAGCAACCAAAUGUAAUGGUGAUACUGCUGCUUAAAUCCUGCUUAUCAAAAAGGUUCACAGUACUGAUUAACGUAGGUAGUCUACAGGGCAUCAUCCAUUUACACACAAAGCAGAGAGGCUGUUCCAAAUAGCAGAGAAGGCGGGGGGCAGGGGAGAGGACCCGGUACUAAAAUCAUGAACAUCUUAUCAAGGCAUUUCUGUGCUUCAUGAAGACAGAUGGCAUAUACAUUGAAGACAGGGAGCUAAGACAGACGGACAAAACGCCAUACAGGACAAAGCACCUGAUUCAACACUGCCUGAAAAUCUGAUUAAUCCCGUGAGUCAGAAAUUUAAGGCUGGUCAAGAAAGCCUCCAGUGAAAACAAUCAUCUUUGAUGUUUGCACAAAAAUCAAUAAAUAAAAAUAAAGGAAGGGGAUAAAAAAAGACACGAGAGCUUUGGGUGAUAUUUGGCACUUUGCCUCUGAAAAUGAUGACAAAUCCUGGGAUUGGAAAAAUAUAUAUAUGACUCUAAUACCAAGCAGCAAUUCCUGGCUAAACAAUGCAAGCCUGGCUGGCAGUUACCUUUCUCUCAUGUUUUGUGCCUUCCCCAAGUCAUUAAGUAAGAGCUCUGGCCUCAGCUCGCGUGUAACCAGUAAUGACAACCUCUUUGCAGUUAUCUGUGUGCAAACAACCAGAGACAUUCAGAACUCCAAUACACAUUUUUGAAGAAAAGUAAAUCAACCAAGAAAUUAAACUGUUUAAAACAAAUAUUUCUUUCAAAGAAUAAGGAAAAAAAAUGUCAAGGAGAAACUCGCCCUCCCUGCCCCACAAUUCAACAUGCAGAACAGUCAACCAGUGCUUUCAUAUCAGCAGGUACACAUAUCCUGAGCCAUCCACGGUCCCCGAACUCUGCGACAUUGCUUUCAGGUGAUAGAGACAAGAUGGUCCAUGCAAAUGAGCUGACCAAAGUCAUGUUGUGUGCAAUCAAGAUAGGAUCCCAAACAUCUUCAAAAUGGUUUAGAGUCACGAGAAAUGAAGGUCCAAUGAAGUGACCGGUGUUUGGAAGCACACUGUUUUAAUUAUAUCUCCCUGAAGAUAUGUUUACGUAUUAGCAUACUGGCCAAUAUCUGACACUACCUGUCAUUUUAUUGCGAAAGGAGAGCAGGGUAAUUAAUAUGGAGAAGUAGCACUACUUUAGAUAAUCUUUAAAGCCAGGAGAAGAUUUGUUAGCUACCCAAGUGGCAUUUCUGACUUCAAAAAGUAGUAUCAUGCAGGAUUGAAACUGUAUUUAAUGGAGCCUGGAGUAACUCUACAUUUACUUAUUUCCAUUUUGGGGUAAACAGUACUCGAAUUCAUACAAUUUAGCCGACUGAUGCAGUUUGGUUUACAAAAUAGAUGGGAUGGGAGAUCGAGGGCGCCUCAGAGGACAAGGAGAGUUGUAGGGUGAUGUUACUGGAGACAGCCUCAGAGCAUUGCCUGCCAAGCCCGCUAUGUUGUUUAAGCUUCGGGAUUUUUCAUAUCCUUUUAUGAAAAAAUGCACAGACAUCAGUUGAAUUCAACCAGAAAAUAGACACAGACAAAUAAUACCAUGCAGGAUAAUCAAAAGUGCUAUUUUGAGUUCAAGGGAAAAAAAAUUUUUUUACAAAGAAUUCAAUAUUGAGACCAUUUAUAACUUAAAAAAAUAAAGCUCACUAUAGCUGUCAUUCCCAAGAAAUUAAAUCAAUCAAAACUUAUGGUUGUAAUACUUCAAAAUUCAUUCUUCCCCACUGUAAUUUGUAUUGAUGUAAUUUUGGUAUAUAAAAUACUACAGAUCUUUUAAGAGUUAGGCAAAGCAACUUAAGUAAGAUAUAAACUUGGCUAAUAUUUUUAAAUUUCAGAAUCUGUUUCUAAAAAAAAAAAAACCAAAUGGGCUAUUUUUUUCUUUUCAUUUUGUAUUGUUUACUAAGCUAAUAAGCAUGAUCAACUUUAAGUGGACAACUCUUUUUCCAGCAUAUUCAAUUUUUCAGCUUUAUAGUGUUAAAAGGAUGAUUCUUAAAUAAUGGCGUUUGAUGCCAUUAUCUAGGUGAUGUAGAAUGCCCAUUUCUAUAUCUUUGGAUAAAAAAAUGUAAAGAAAAAAGGAAGGAAAUGAAAUAUAAAUUGAGUCAUAAUUUCAGUGAAUUACAGUCUGAACUUUAUGAUGUGAUGUUUUCAGUUAGCUCUCCACUGCCAAGAACUGAGAACCAUUUGAUCAUAAUUCACUUUUUCUAUUAUCUUGCGUUCUAAUCAACUGUACGUGAUUAUCAUGGACUUACGGAAUAAAAGAUCCUCCUCACAAGCUUUAACCCAGUGGUUUUCCUUAGUCACUCAAGCAACAUUCCCAUCAAAGUCACCUUUGGGAAGAUUCAUAUAUUGUAGCAUUAUUUAUUAGAAAAAGAGUAGAGGCAGUUCAAUGGGGUGGUUAGCACCAUGUAAAGUUAGAAGUGAACUGUCUUAAAAGCAGGACAACUAUUAAUUGAAAAAGUAGUCAAGAACCAAAUGUAGGAGUCAGUCAUAAGAAAAACUAGUCAGGAAAUAAAUGUUCUGAGAAGUCCACUGAAAAAAAAGUGUUGUCAAACAGGAAAAUGAAAUUCCCUCAGCCAAAGCUGAGCAAGUGGAUACAACUUCACUAAACUUCAUGGAUUCCUUAGUCUCAGGACAUAUUCCUUGGGCUCUGAUUAGCCCUCGGUGUGCAUGUUAGUAUAUGAGAAAGAAAAUGGGCCUAUUGUGUUUCCCUGUGCUCCUCUCAGGUACUUUUUUUAAUUUUCAUGGAACUUCUGGGGAAGAAGCUAAUACUAUCUCUCCUCCUUUCACUAGAAAAGAAGAAACAUUUUCAGUGAGUUAGUGAUUAUUUGAUUUUCAAGCAGCCAGUACAAGAAUGGACACAGACUGUAAUAACUGCUCUACUGUGGGAGAAGCU